RNAcentral lists this unclassified non-coding RNA (216 nucleotides) under Hevea brasiliensis (rubber tree). Lineage: Eukaryota; Viridiplantae; Streptophyta; Magnoliopsida; Malpighiales; Euphorbiaceae. The record is from RNAcentral.
AAACAAGUAUGCCGCUAACCUUGUCAAAAGAUAUGAUGCCAUUCAUUAAUCCAAGGUUGAUUAUUACUUCAUCAAAAACUGGAACACUUCCGCCAACAAGACCGGUAUUUCCACCUUGGGGUACAACAGGCAAGUCUCUGGAGUUGCAAUAUUUAAGUAUCUGAGAGACCUCUUCUGUGCUCCUAGGUUGUAGUAAAAGCUUACUCGACCCUCUGA